Molecule: long non-coding RNA, 331 nt
Organism: Electrophorus electricus (electric eel)
Lineage: Eukaryota; Metazoa; Chordata; Actinopteri; Gymnotiformes; Gymnotidae
Source: RefSeq, a predicted model, not a curated record
UUGAAGUCUAUAAGCCUACGCUUUUGAGAGAACGCAGAGCCCCGCCUCUUACGGGGCGGGCAGGGAGGAAACGGAUCCAGCCGACGUGGGACAACGUUUUGGAAGAACUUCCUGUGUGAACUUGAGGGGGAGUGGGAACCCACCAGGCUACAGAGUGUCCAGUCCAGAAAGCAUGCGGGCCUUGGUUAAGAUCUCCUUGAUGCUAUCAUCAUAGAUGUCGCAAUCUCUGCAACCUCACUUACUCACAACUUUCAGCACCAUCACAGAUCGUGGUGGCAGGAGGGCUCUGUGAUCAAAGCUAGACUACUGCAGCUCGCUACCUGCUGGUCUU